Heterocephalus glaber (naked mole-rat) is the source of this 5024-nucleotide non-coding RNA. NCBI's taxonomy places the organism in Eukaryota, Metazoa, Chordata, Mammalia, Rodentia, Bathyergidae. The record is from RefSeq and is a predicted model, not a curated record.
AUGGGUAUUUCUGCUUGCUUAAGUGGCUGCACCGAAACCCUAGUUCUGUAAGCGAGGUUUUGGUCCUGACGAGGGCUGGAGGCGGCGGAAUGGAGACCCAGACUGGGGACGCGGGAUUGACCCGCCGCCCGACGCUAGCGUCUUCGUGGGAUGCAGCGAACGGGGCGCUGACCCAGAGCCUCCUUCUCACCCAGACUGGGCCCGGCGCCCAGAAUUUCGAGUGGGAGGAGCUUCUGGCGCCGCCUGCCCCAGGCCAGGAUCUGGUGAGCUUGAAGAGCAGCCCAAGCCCCCAAGGAGGAAGCCCCUGUUUCCUCUACCUGAGAUGUGACCCUAAGGGAGAAGAAGAAAUCGAUUCUGAUGGCCUUUUAAGUCCAGCAAGAAAUAUGGAAGUAUAUGUAGGAGAGGAAUACUGUGGAACCAGUAGGGGCAGCAGCAUUUGCACCAUUCUGGAUGGCAGGAUCAAAGCUAGACCUUGACAAGAUCCAAACAGUGAUGGAGGGCAUGGAUCAAAGUUACCAGCUGGAGCUCAGCAACUGAUGAAUAUAGUUAGAUUUCAGCAGCAGAAUGGAAGAACAGCCUAUUUGCUCCUGCUUGGGAAAGAUUUCUUUCCAAAGAUGUGGACCUGAUGGAAAAGAAACUUAUGGCCUGCAUGACCACCAGAUAUAUAAACUUCAGGUGCACAUAAAUUAUAAGAUUGCUUUGUCAAUGGACUUGCUACAAAACUCACAACUUCCCACCCGCUGGGACACUUCUAAUGCAUUAUAACUCUGGAGAAGAGCUUCAAAUGGAGAAGGGUCUCAACAUAUGCAGUGUCUUAUAAACAUUAUAUAUUUAUUACAAAGCUAAAACCCAAAAGUGUUUAUGAAAAGCAAGUAAUAUCUUUUGAAGGAUCAUUGUUUUACAUAAAGUGACCUCUGUUCAUUUUGACUGUCCUUGUUGUAAAUCCAGGACUGUACACUAAGAGUAAACAUGUUUACACUCGUAAGUUGUUUUUGUGUGGAAUAGUUUUUGCUUUUACAGAUUUACAUAGUUUAUAUUAAGUACAUAAAAUGUUUAAGGACUUCUGAUACUGUUCAUCAGUUUUUACUGUAUUGUUUAAGUACUGCUUUAAUUUAUACAAAGACUUUAUUUCAUAGUUUUAGGGUAUAAAGAGAAUCCUUAGAAUAUUCGGUAUUUUUUAUAAUUGUUGCUUCUGGAAGCUUUAUUUUUAGACCACCAAUUUAUAUUUUAUAUUGUUUAUUUCAGAUUUUUAAUAUAGAUAUGAUUAUUUCAUAUUUGGACCAUUAAGUUUAUGUUCCAUCACAUUGUUGCAGUAGAUAGGAAAACCAAACCAGAAUUGGCCCAUUCUUUGUUAGGAUUAUUAUUUUGGAUUUAGUGUUUGAUGUAAAAUGGGAGAAGUCAUCUUGUUUUACCUCAAAAACCCGGAACAUGUAAGGAGGUCUCCUUUUCUGGCCUUACACAGGGCCUUCUUUCCAAGCCUUUCCUGGUAGAUAUCAAAUGUGAAAUGCUAGGGCUGGGGAUUUAGCUCAGUGGCACCGCGCCUGCCUCCCAAGUGCAAGGUCCUGACUUCGAUCCCCAGUACCAAAAAAAAAAAGUGAAAUGCUAAGAAUCUGCAUUGAAUGAUUAAAGCAUACAAACGAAGGAAAUUGCAUUUCUUUCUGACAGACUUGAUUUUUGUACUAUUGUAUAUAUGUGUUGAAGGGUGACAUAUUUGCAGGUAAAAAUAAAUGCACCCACUCUGGAAGCUAUCUGUCUAGAAUAAAUAGAAGUAUUUUCACCUAAUAUUUAAGAUAUUUAUUUUUAUGAAAGGGUUGUUUUAUGCUGUUAAUAGAUUGUGAAUUGACUUCUGUAACAUGAGAACUGACUUAUGUAAUGUUUGUUCAUUUAUGAACAAAGUUCGCCUUAACCAGACAUGUUUUUCCACGGGAAAAACAAGCCCACACCAUCUUGUUUGCACCUGAAAUCUCCCACUUAAUUUUACUAAGUCAGCUGUACUAUGGUAAAUCCAUUGGCUGAAUUUCCUUCAAAUCAUACAAACCUGACCAAAUCAGGUAUCUUCUUUAACUUUUAUUUCUGUACCUCUUUUAGCUAUAAAGUAUGAAACUCUGCCAAUCUCAGUGAAUGUGUGCUUGAAGCCUAGUAAAUGGCUCCAUAUUAUUUCAUUGUAUAAUUGAAGCAUUACAGCAGGAGGACCGCCACAGGUUUGAAGCCAGUCUGGGCUACAUAGUGAAUUCAGGGCCAGCCAAAAUACAUAGGAAGACCCUGUCUCCAAAAAAAAGAAAAGUAUAUUACGUGAGAAUUCAAACAUACCUGCACAUGGAACAAAAUUCAGAAUUCUGUGAAGGGAGCUGGUAUAACAGCCUGUGUCAUCAGUGCUGGAGCGCGCAGAUUCUAACUCUGGCAGAACACUGCCCUUCCAAACACAAACUCUUUAAUCGAGGACCGUAAUUACUCCUAACAGAGAAGAUAGGAUACUUCUUUCUCAGAUUACAGGUUUGAGAAAUACCUGACAAAAUAUCCAGUACUCUAAAAGUUUUUUUUUCUUUCCACAGUUCUUUUUUUUUUUUUUUUUUUGUACUGGGGAUCAAACUCGGGUCCUUGCACUUGUGGGGCAGGCAGCAGAACCACUGAGCUAAAUCCCCGGCCCUCUCUUUCUACAGUUCUUAAUCCAGCUUUAGAUGGUUUAAACAGUAGUUAAGUGUACUUGGCAGACAGUUUAUUCUCUCCUGGUUCACUGCUCCUCAAUUUCAGUGUGUGAGAUUGAGUAAAUUGCUUAUUCCAGACAAAUUUGCUUUUCUGGGAAGAUGUGUUUAGGAGGAAGACCCGUGGUCUACAGGAAGACAGAAUGAGGGACAAGCGGCUCCUGAAGAAGCUGGUUUCUGGCCUGUGCAAACCACUUCCUAUCUCAGUCAGGACAAGGGGUUGGCUGGAAGCUUCCAGAAUACCCUUAGCCCUGAAAUGGCCUGAUCCAGUUUUCAGUGGGGGAACUGAAAACUUUUUCCCCUAAAACACUUAACACUUAACAAAGGUUUGCAUUCUCGGGAUUGUCAAAGAGUAACAUGUCGAAAAAAGUCUUAUUCCCAUAAAGUAUCUUUAAACCUACUGUACAGUUACAGGUCAUUCUGAGUCUGAGAUGGACAUAGUUUAAGAGGCACAGGUGGAGGAGUAAAACCACUAGCUCCAGUGCAAGCCCUAAGCAUAGAUCACUGCCUGUGAAAAGUAAAGAUUCUUUCCAAUGUCCUGGUCUUCUCUGUGGAUUUUGUAUCAGUCGUUUUCAUACAGAAAUAAACCUCUUUACUUAUUCCAGGCCAGCUUAGGGCCUGGAAACAAAAGGCUCUCCUCAUGGUUGUGGAGAAGGGUUAUCAGGUUGGGAGAAGCCACCUUCACUACCUGCCUGCAUUUCUCUGCCUAGGUGUAAAAGAUGUCUGAUCUCAGUACAAAGAUCAUAAUCAGCAUGGGCUUCAGCUUAGUGAUUGCUGCAGUUUUUCUGACAGCUAUUGUCACCAGUAUUUUCUUCUAUGUCUCCAAAGCGCUAAAGUGAGUCAUGCAGGUAGGAGUGAACAGUUCGCCCUCAAGUGGGACACCUGGUGCUCUGCUUGAACUGGGUUAUUCCUUGUGGCUGGGGCUACACCAUGGGUAAGGUCAAGAGCCACAGGCAGAUGGUACAGGAAAAGCAAAGGCAGGCGAGUACAGAAUCUUCCUUCUGGAUUGGGGUUAGCUGAAAAGUAGAACAUUCUCAGCCUUGAGGCUGUGUGUGUCAGCACCACAUCCGUGUCACUUGAUCUCCUGGGUUUCCCAUCAGAUGUUUAUUAGUCCCUUGCCAGAACCUCCCCUAGUCCCAUGCACUGGAGAUGGGACAAUCCCAGGGGAUCCUGUGGGAGUGAGUCAGGGGACAGGCCACACUGACCUUCUCUCACCCAGUUCAGGAGCUCCCAAGCAUGUUCCCUCAUUCAUUGCCCGUGGCCUCGGGGACAGUGAGGUGGGCCUUUAGGACCAAGGCCCUAUAGAAGACAGCUUACAAGCGGGAGUAGGUUAAGGCAAGAGAUUAUAGUUUGGGGAGAGGAUCUUUAAAUAUGAGAGAGACUAGCUGUAGCCUCAGUGAUGUCCCCAUUCUAGGGAAUUAUAUAGUAGAGCCCUUUCCCCCUCAUUCCUGCAGCAACUGGAUGGAUGAUCCGUACUUGUAAUCCAUUCCCUUUUUUUUUUUAAUGUAACCAGAGUACAUAUACAGCAGUUGUAAGAGAGAAAGGGAUAAGAAAGGAACUUGGCAACAGGACAGAGAGCUUUAAUCCAGGGCUGGUGUCUCGUGUGUUGCUGCAGCACUGAACUUCCCAGAGAGCCCUAGCAAUUGUAAGAAAUACACUGAAGCCCGGGGAUUUAGCUCAGUGGCAUUGCGCCUGCCUUGCAAGUGCAAGGUACUGAGUUCAGUCCCUGGUACCGCAAAAAAAGAAAAAAGAAAUGCACUGAAAAGAAAACUUUUAAGUCUCUGAUUUGUGUAUGUCUUUUCUUAAGAGCUGCAAAAGAACCUGAUCCUGAGGCUAACUCAGCCAACAACACCAAGGAUAGGGUCAUCCCGGCUGAAACUGCUGCCACUGAGUCUUUUCUCAUCCUUCAGUCUUGUGAUGAAUGUAAAAUGUAUGCAGAUCCCCUGCCACCUUGCUUUUGUGACAUAAAUUAGGGGCUCUAAUGUGGAGUUGGUGGACACAAAAAUCUUCAUAAACAGUAUUUCUUUCUUAGUAGAGUGUUAUUCAAGUCAAGUUCGAAAGCAUUUAUAUUUUCUAAUGUACUCUCACAUCAUAUGUACUUUUGAUUACAUGUGCAAUAAUGAAAAUCCUUUCUGCUUCCAGUUGUUAUGUCUUUUACUUAAAUAUGUGCAUUACCACCUUCGGACUUGAGGCAACUAGUUUAUAAUAUUGUAUUGCAAAAUAAGCAGGAGAGUUAGAGUACAAAAUAAAGAGCUUGUAUAUAGUUUAGCAAGAGGGGCUAUUGUUUUAACAGAUCCAUGAAAUAAAAAGCACUUGAGCCAA